GUUUGGGUCUCUCGCAAUGGAAUCCUACUGAACCCCGUCAGGUCCGGAAGGAAGCAGCGGUAAGUGGUGAAACCAUGUGCCGGGAGGUUGCCCAAGCAGG
Molecule: signal recognition particle RNA, 100 nt
Filed under: Fidelibacterota bacterium CG1_02_48_14
Lineage: Bacteria; Pseudomonadati; Fidelibacterota
Also listed under: 2 other names
Description: Candidatus Marinimicrobia bacterium CG1_02_48_14 signal recognition particle sRNA small type
Rfam family: Bacterial small signal recognition particle RNA
About the family: The signal recognition particle (SRP) is a universally conserved ribonucleoprotein involved in the co-translational targeting of proteins to membranes. Archaeal SRP consists of a 7S RNA and homologues of the eukaryotic SRP19 and SRP54 proteins.
Source: RNAcentral